AUCCUAUAAAGGAAGGAUAACCAGAAAUAAUACUUUGAGAAAUAGAACAAAUAGGUUGCAGACCCAAAACACAUACCUACGAGUACAAGUUGGCAGAGGAUAAUUUAUUUAAAGAUGAAAAUGCUAGAGAUUAAACAAUUACUGAACAUGAAGCAGCUCCAAAAUAUGCAUGUAUGUUAGAUCAGUUAAGUAUGUGCACGUCACAAGAAAAAUGGGAGGUACACUCAGGCUGAACCACCCAAUAUCUACAAUGAGAAGUUUCUGAAAGGUGAUCUGCUACUACCAUAUGCAAACAUAGAUACACACAUUUACAUAGAUAUACAUGUAUACCUAUUACCAGGAUAGAUACAUACAUACAUACAUACAUAGAAAUUUACAAUAUUUAGAUGCUCACAUACAUAAAAACUAGAAUUUAUAAACUAAAAACUGCCAAAGUCAAAGAAAAUAGGAAACUUAAAUCAAACCUGUACUAUUGGCUGGGAGUUUACGACAAAUGGAACUCGUUAUGAAUGAAAUUUAGCUGUAAAUGCUUCUCACUAACUUGUCAGCCAGUAACAUGUGUUUAUUUUAAUAACAUCCGAAACUAAGUUACUCUAGCCUUUUUUUACAUAUUCUUACAUAUUAUUAGGAAAUGGUGAACCAAGUAACAACGAUAUCUUAGCACUUCCACAUGGUUGAUGAAAGCUAGGAGAAGCAUGAUUGUUUUUGUUCUUAGGACUACUAUAGAUAUAUCAUGCCAUUCUGAUGCUACUUCAAACGUUUUAAUCAAAGUUCGUCGAACCGGUACCGAGACCCAUACCGGUCGGCAACCGGUAUGGUUCAAUACUGGUUCGAACUGGAUGGAACCGUCCAAUUCCGGUUUGUUCCAGCCACAUCCUAUCAGGUUCCGGCCCCUAGGGGACCGGAACCGUUUUUCAUUGGAGAACCGACCCAGUCGGAGAGCGGAUUGGCUCGGUUCAGCAAUCCUUGGUUUUAACUGUCUGGAAAAGAUUAAUUGCUGACUAAGUUACUCGUAUGUGCCAUGCACAUAUGGCUACGUUACUCGUAUGUGUCAUGCACAUACGAAUCUUAUCCUCUUUGAUGGGAAGUACUAAUCUUAAUAUGCACAGUUAAUCAAACAAGCUUGCACCACACUCUUAACGUGCCAAUAUACGAGGUCUCUCUCUCUCUCUCUUUUUGCAAGUUAGUGUAGCGGAAUUAUUUUUUCUGAAAAAAUUGGAUCAAAAGCAUAGGCUUAACAAAAGAGCACCAGAGCAAGACUAUCUCAAAUAGCAGCAGCUCAAAAAGCAUAGCAUUACAAAAAAUCAUGUUCUAGUAAUUAACGGAGAGGAAUGGCUGAAAACUGCUAAAAGCUGCAACUCAUUUUGCAGCAAAUGCCACCAAUACUUCCACUGGUUCUAGUGUUUAUUUGAUAGGCAAAACUGUUUCUAGGUGCCCUGUCUGUACCAUGUCCGACUCCUUCUAGGAGUGAUAAGAAGUUUUAGAUAGUAUAUAAGAGAAUGUAGAGUAGUAAUUUCAAUUUCAAUUCAAGAUUUUAAAUUUGCUUAUGAUUUUGUUUUCUUCUUGUAUGCUAUAUAAACAUAACACUAUAGUACCCUAUGGAAAAAGAUUUUGAUAUUCAUUUUUUAGACGAAUAAAGUUCGAGAAUUUGGAAGUUUUUUCACCAGUUAUUUUUAUGGUUGUAGAGUUGACACUUUUUGCCCCUCCUCACUCCUAUUCUCCAUUAUUUUCUCUUUUUGCUUUAGAGAAUUUUUUGCAUUAGAUGAUAUAAGAGUGAGUCCAUUCCUUUGAUACCCGUGAAGAUAUGGAAUUUGUUCUAUAAAUAAGCAAACAAAGAAUAUUUCUAUUUCAUACUAUUGAAAAGUAACAUCAAACAUUCUACUAUAUCAAGCAUAAAUCAGAGAUUUUGGCAUUAAAGAACAAUCUGGAAGCAAAGGAGACCUUGACAAGUUAUCCUCUAUGAUAAAAAUAAUUCAAAAAAAUCAAGGAAAGAGAAAUUCCAUAAUAUUAAAUCUUUCAAAUCACUAUUGACCACGUACAAGCCUAGAAGGUUACAACACUUAAGACCUCGUUUGGAAAAGCUUUUGGAAAGCCAAAAAGCACUUUCCAUCCCUCCAAAAGAACUUUUGGAUAGUAUAGUGGUGUUUAGUAAAAAAUCUAAAAGUUGUUUCAACUUUGCCAAAAAGCUUAAAAGGUCUGGACUCAAAAAUAGAAAACUGAAAAAGUCUACUCGGGAGUUGUUCUCUGGCAAAUGUCAGAAAGUUGUUUUGGCUUUUAUGAAAUUUUUGUGGUGACCAAAAUGCUUAUGAACAAAUCUCAUAAUUAUAUUAUUAUACUAUAAAUACAGUAUAUUAUAUUAUAAAUAUAUUAUAUUAUAUUAUAAUAAUAUUAUACUAUAUAAUAGUAUUUUAAUGUGCAGUAGUACAUUAUUAUAUUGUAUUAUAUCAUAUUAUAUUAUUAUACUAUAUUAUAUAAAAUUAUAUUACAAUAUUAUAUUACAUUAUGUUGCGUUAUAAUAAUUUUAUACUAUGUAAUAAUACAUUAUUAUAUUAUAUUAUAUCAUAUUAUGUUAUAUCAUUAUGCUAUAUUAUAUAAUAUUGUAUUACACUACAUUAUAAUAAUAUUAUAUUAUGCAAUAAUAUGUAAUAUUUCAUUGUAUUAUACUCUACUGUACAAUACUAUGCAAUAUUUUUUAUUGUCGUUAGGUCAUAAUACUAAAAGCACUUUCUCAGUUUGGUUACUAAACACAUGUUAAAGUUUCCUAACACUUUAGAAAUGUAAUUACCAAACAACAAAUAACUUUUUAUAAAAACUUUACUUCCAAAAGCUCUUCUACCAACUGCAAGUCCAAACAAGGCCUUAUUAGUAUUUAGAUGAUAAACUUUAAUUUUGGUAUCUAGAUCACCUUCUUACGUUAUCCAAGAAAAAAUGUUACACAUCUCGCUUCAUGAUAAAUCUUCCAACAUGGCUAAGUACAACCUAAAAACCUUGAAGGUUGCCACAAUUUUUAGCAUUUAGAUGGUAAACUUUAGUUUUACUAUUUAACUUUUAGUGUCUAAAUCAGCUUCUUGCCAUUAUCCAAGAAGAAGGUUGCCACCAAGAAUAUCUCAAACACUACAUGGAUGUGCCGUGCAAAUUGAACAUGUCCAAUCUCAACUAUUCCAAAAAAUCGCUCGCUAUAGUAAAUUGAUUCUCAGUUUAUGCAUGUGUAUGUUCAAUUUUAGCUUACAUAUACAUUAACUUGGACCUAUAAUCUCUUUUCUCUGCAAU
Molecule: non-coding RNA, 3270 nt
Organism: Phoenix dactylifera (date palm)
Lineage: Eukaryota; Viridiplantae; Streptophyta; Magnoliopsida; Arecales; Arecaceae
Source: RefSeq, a predicted model, not a curated record